This 266-nucleotide long non-coding RNA is filed under the name Carica papaya (papaya). RNAcentral's name for it is "long non-coding RNA (CPAP_LNC015143)". Lineage: Eukaryota; Viridiplantae; Streptophyta; Magnoliopsida; Brassicales; Caricaceae. The record is from RNAcentral.
GGGGAGUUAAACAUUCAAAUGGAGCAGAGCGAUGGUCCGCUGGUUCAUUUGCAAACGUGAGUCACGGCAUCAGAGCAUUUUUCUUAAUAUUUUUUUAGCAUUCAAUUAAAGCCCAUCACGUGAUGAGAGUGUCAUUCUAAGCAUCUUAAAUAGUAGAAAAACAAAAAAUGAGAGGCGGCGGGCGAUCCGUUCAAUGGGCAUGAGUCGAGAUGGGUCUUUCGACAUUACACGCGACUGGAAGUAUAUUCCGCUGGUUUACUCGCAAA